AGGGGAUUUUGCCCGACACUCGUACCUAUACUAUAUUGAUCAAUGGUUAUUGUAAGAAGAAGAAAGUAGACACAGCAACAACUCUCUUAGAAGAAAUGCCCCUGAAAGGUUUAACACCUACAGUUGAAACAUACAGUACUAUUUUGGAUGGCUUAUUUCGCACGCGUAGGCUUGAUGAAGCACAUAAGUUUUAUAGGAAGAUGUUAAACCAAGGUGUCAGACUGGAUAUAGUGACAUGUUGUACCUUGCUUCAUGGACUUUGCUGGAAUGGACUGGUUGUUGAAGCAAUGUUCUUGUUUCACAAGAUGGAGUCUUGUGGCUUAGUUCCUGAUAUACACAUUUAUAGUAUUCUGAUUCAUGGAUUGUUCAAGGACGGCAAGGUUGACAAGGCAAGGAACCUUUUUCAUAAUCUUCUUUUGAAGGGUUUACAGCCUAGUGUCAAAACCUACACCAUUAUGAUCCAUGGAUUCUGCCAAGAAGGGUUGCUGGAAGAAGCAUAUAAAAUACUUUUGGAAAUGGAAGAACACAAUUGCUUGCCUGAUGAAGUUACCUACAACACUCUUAUUCGUUGCUGCUUUAAGAAUAAGAUGUAUGAUGGAGGUUGUAUGCUUAUAGAUGAGAUGGUUGCUCAUGGUUUCAAAGCAGAUGCCUCUACCGCCUCGAUGCUAUUUAAUUUGCUGCAAUUAAAAGAGCAGGACCCUGCGCUCGUUGCUUUGCAGAAGAAGUUCAUGCCUUGACUACGCGAGUUUAUUAAGGUACAAAAUACUUUUAAAUUUCCAGAACUUUGUAAUAAUUUGCUACGAUAUAUAUUGCCAAUAGCAAUUGUGAUAUUGGAGUGAAUAAUAUGUAAUUUUGUUGAAUAUGUAAUUUCCAGAACCAUUACAAUUAUUUUUUGAUAUAUUAGUUCUUAAUAUAUGUUUUUUUUCUUCGUCUCUAUGUAGUUUUGAACUUUCUUCCAAAGAAAGGGAAUCCUUCAGAACUACUAUUUAUAUAUUAUUAAACUUGUUUUCUCUGCAUAAAAAUUGUUUUGUCAUGCAUACUUAAAUAUGAUGAUUCAGUCUGCAACAUUAUUAUUUACUUGCACUCUCUUGUCAGUUUGUUAUCUUUUGUCGUAGUCCACUAGCACUUCUCUUUACUGCAAGGUUAGUUUAAAUUAGUAUAAAGUAGAGUUUAAGUGCAGCAGAGUUGAAGUUCAACCGUUAAAGUCAUCAGUACCAAGAUGCGACACUGGGGUCAGUCUAUAAUGUGUGCUAGUCCUUUAUGUAGAUUAAACUUAUUGCGGCUACUUUGUGAAUAAGAGAAACGACGAAGGAUGUGUGCUUAUAGACAAGAUGGUUGCUCAUGGUUGUCCUACUGCAUGCCUCUAGAACCUCCAUCUUGUUAGACUUGAUCGAAGUAAAAGGACCGGCUCUCCUUGCUUUGCAGAAGAACUUUUUGCCCCUGAGAACGUUAAGGAGAGAGUUUGUUAAGGUACACAAUACUUAUAAACUGCCAACACUUCGUCAGAGUUUGCAGCAGAUUUUGAAGGCAAUAGAAACUUUGAUAUUGGAAUUCAUGAUAUGUAAUGUUGUUAAAUAUCAAAUUUUAAGAUGGUGGUCAUAUUUUGUAUUAGAGCAUGUAUUUUCUUUGACAAUGCAGAAAAGCUGGUUCCUCAAGAGAUGCAGAUACCACCUCACAGGAUAUUGGAAUUCAUGAUAUGUAAAUUGUAAUGUGAAAUGGAUGUAGACAUUGAUAUUAUACUGGUUUCAAUUUGGCAGCGGCACACAUAAUAAUAGUAGGAUAAUUAGCUGGUCUGCUUUUGCAAAGGAGAUCUCUUUGCAGGUUGGAGUCUUGGAGGUGCUUGUUUCCUAAAGUGAUGUAUCAUGGAGGUUGUGUACUUAUAGAUGAGGUGUGUGCUCCUGGUUUCAAAACAGAUGCCUCUACCGCCUCCAUGUUAUUCGAUUUGCUGCAAUUGAAAGAGCAGUGCCCCGUGCUCCUUGCUUUGCAGAAGUUCAUGCCUUGAGUACAUCAAGGAGAGAGUUUGUUAAGGUACAAAAUACUUUUAAAUUGCCAAAACUUCGUAAUAGUGUGCUACAAAAUUUUUAAUCAAUAGCAAUUAUGAUAUUACAGAUAAUAGAAUGAAAUUGUUGAAUAUCAAAUUUCGAACUGGUGGCCGUGUUGUAUUUGCAUUUUUUCACAAAACGAGAAGUGUGGUAGAGCAUCUAUUUUUCUUUAACAGAGAGCUGCUUUCUUAGGAGAUGCAUACCACCUGUAUAUUACCGGACCUUCUAUUCUUGCUCUGCAUGGUACAUACUGGCAUCUGUUGAUUUGGUGUAAAAAUUAUUAUUUACUUGCACCUUCGUGAAACUACUUUUGAUAUAUUAUUAAACUUGUUUUCAGACUGUAGUCACAAAUUUGUUUUUAAAAAAUGCCUCCAGUCAAGUUUGUUUAUUCAGAAAUAUCCUAUGCAACUACAUAUACACAUAUCGGCAGGGUAAAAUGGCUAAUUCAUAACAAAGCUGCUUAAAAACUUGCAGUUUGGUCAUGGAGUUAAAAAAGCUCACAGUCAACUAAUGAAGUAUUAAAAAACUUGCAUAUUAAUAACUCCCGUUAACUCUGUUAAUAACAUAACGGAAAUAAGCUCAUUUUCAAAUAGAUCACUGGAUGAAGAACAACACUGCAAAUACAUCAUUCCAAACAUAAUAACCAUCCACCCCCCUGCAGUUACAAUAAUAAAGAGAAUUAUCAUCCCACCUUCAGUUACAGUCACAAAAAAACUAGCAUAUUACCAAGUUUACGGUGUCCAAAAAGCAAGAUGUUCCCCACUAGCAAAUUACAAAUAUUAAACUACAGUCCUGUUUUUCUUGGGACCUUGAAUUUUCUCACAGGAAGCUUUGGCCUUCCUCUUUUGCUGGUCCCAGCCUCAUGUGGUUGCAGCUUUGAAGGAGAUGGAGUCCCACCUGUGCCAUGUGUUGCUUGAACAUUUGGUGUAAGCAUCUGCAUUUUAAUGAAACAAACAAUUAAUACACUAGUUUGUGCAUGAAUUAAAGCAAUUGAAAGGAUAAAAUAACUUACAAAAACCAUUCUUUGGCUUCUUCUAGGUGUAGUUGGUGGUGGUGCACUAACCACAUGCUCAGCCUCCAAAAUCUCAUCCAUAAGUUCAGCUUCCCCUGUCUCCCUUUCCCUCCCAACCCUCUCACUUUCUGCAGCUCUUUCAGCUUCUUCUUCAGUCAUCUGUCUCCUCUUUGGCAUCCUUUUUCUGACUGGCUUCUCCACAUAAUCAGCAGGCUUGUUAGGGCAUUUGCCUCUAGUAUGCCAUGUCUCUCUACAGAUUGUGCAAUGCAUUACCCUCCCCAUCCUAGAGAAGUUUAGUCUUUGGGAUUGCUUCAUCCUUCCUCUAGCCUCCUCCCACCCUUCCCUCCUCCUCUACCUUUUAGGCCUUCCCCUCAGCUGCUUCACAAAUGGUGGUGGGAGAACUGUGUCUCCCAUUGUCUCCUUCCAAAAGGGUUCCCCCCUCAGCACUUCCAAACAAAAUGAGUAAGUCCUCAUAUAUGUAUCUUUCUUGAACCAAUGUUCCACAUAGUCAACUGGAUCUUCUCUUAUUUUUUGAAUGGCACAAACAGAAUGAGAGCAAGGUAUGCCAGUUAACUCCCAUACUCUACAUGAACAAGUACUUUCUUUCAAAUUAACACAAAAACCUACCCCCCUCCAUUUCACUUGAAAGUUAUCCUGACCAUCCCACAACACACUGCACUCACUACUCUCCAAAACAGAUCUGGCUUUAGGCACAAGCACACAAUCUACAUCCCUCAUUGCAUCUCUCUUUUUAUGUAUCCUCUCCAUAAGCAUAUCAUGAAUUUCUGUAAGCAUAUCAGUUAAGGGCAUGUACCUUGUCUUGAGGAUCCAAGCAUUGAAGCACUCAGAGAUAUUGUUGUCAGUGCUUGCACAUUUGGAAUGAGUUGCAAAGUAUGCUUGAGACCAUACUUUGGGAUCCAGUUCAUUCAUCUUCUGAGCAGCCCUUUUGGAGUGCUUUUCAAGGUCCUUCAUUGCAACCUUGAACUGAGCUGGAUGUGUGGAUGUACAAGCUCUCCAAAAUGCCACUUUGACAGCUUCACCUGGAUGCUUCUUAGACAAGUUGGAAGACAAAUGUCUAGCACAAAAUCUGUGCUCCACAAGAGGGAGAAAUUCCCUCACUGCCUUAUCCAAGCCCUACAACAAAGGUCAUAAAACCAAAACAAAAUUAGAUUCACAUAGAACACAAAAACAAAGCUGAAAAAUUAGUUGUAAGGCAAGAUAUUAGCACCUUUUGUUGAUCUGAAAUUAGUGUAUAUCCAGUGCCAUCUCCCAAGUCUAGAUCUUCAAUCAAUAGGAGUAAGAACCAACUCCAAGAAUCAUAAGAUUCAGACUCUACCACAACCAUUGCAAAUGGGAACAUGCUGUCAUUGCCAUCGCUUCCAACUGCUGAAAGAAGCUGGCCACCACACACAGAUUUGAGAAAGCAGCCAUCCAGACCUAUGAUUGGUCUACAUCCAGCCUUCCAACCCUUUUUCAGCUUGUCAUAACAGACAUAAAAUCUCUGAAAAUGAGGUGCAUCUCCCUCAUUCACCCUUGUUGUACAGAUCUUCACUGUGUUGUCCUUAUUUCUCCUCAAAAUUUCACCCCCAAAGUUCCUAACCCAAGCAUAGUGUUUUUUCAUCUCUUCCUCAACUUGACUUAAGGCCCUCUGUCUCACCCUACAACACUUAGCUUCACCAACUUCAACCUUCAAAGUUGUCCUGAAUUCUUCUUGCAUUUCUUUAAGCUUCCAACUAGGAUUUCUUCUUAUCCUAGGACCAUACAGAUCUGCUAGGUACUUGACAGUCACAAGCUUAUUUCUGUAUUGGUAGAUGCAGUUAUGCUCAUCAUUAACUGUCUUCAGCUGCCAACAUUUAUUCUCCUUCAAGUAUGAGAACCACAUCUUAAAGGGACAUCCUUUACUGCACACAACUUGGAUCCUCUGUUGGUCAUCCACACUGUACUUCAGUGGCCUCCCAGAUGCAAUAGAAAAGCUCCUAACUGCAUCUUUGACUUGUGCUUUAUCCUGCAUCUUUGACUUGUGCUUCAUCACCUAUAUCUUCUGCAGCCUCAUUCUCACACAACUCAUAAUCUUCCCCAUCCCCAUUCACAUGAUAAAGGUGUAGCCUAAUGACCCCAGCACCAUAGGCUUUUGUUGCUACAUGAACAAUUUCCGGGAUUUGAUCAUCACUCACAAGCAGUUUGUACCCACCCCUUAGACUAACACCAUUACACAGAUAAUAUAACUUAUCAGAUUCUCCAACGACAAAAUCAAACAUAUUUCUUAUAUAGCUCACACUCAAUUUCUCAACAUCAACCCUAAUCCUUUUCAUUGUAUCCCUACCCACAUACUCUCUAACACCAGUUAAAUUAGGAGUAACAAACCCACCAUUAUAAAACAACACAAUUCGAACAGUCCUGUAUACACACAUAAUAUACAUACGAAUUUAGGGUUUAUAGACACAUGCAUACAAAAUAUAGAGGGUUUACUGAAUCAACAAGAGAAUUAGAGAGGAAACUUACUCCAUUAUGCACGAAAUCGAGAAAUCGUCGCCGGUGAGUAGUUCAGUUCAAUCGUCGCCUCCUCUUUCCCACUCAAUCGCACUGCUGUCUGCUUAGAUAUGUAAUAAAAUGUGUUUUAAGUUUUAUUAUGCAUAUUUAGAUGUAAUUAGGCUUGGGUCGGGUCGGUGUAAGCUUGGGUCGGGUCGGGUUCACGGGUAUUUUAGCGGAGACGUUAAAAGUCAAAGGCACUUUAACCUUUGUGUAAGUUUCUGUUAGCACGGUCGUUCGAUUGAAUUUUUUUUAAAACAAAGUUAUGUGUUUGAGAGUUGUUUCAACUCCAUGACCAAACUGCAAGUUUUUAAGCAGCUUUGUUAUGAAUUAGCCAUUUUACCCCAUAUCUGCAACUAUUAUUGUAAAACUAUAAGAACAUCGUGGAGAUGGUAGAUUAUGGCUGAAGAAAGUAGAAGACAAUGAGCAAGGCUAUCACUACUUCCAUAAGAUUAAUCCACUCUCUCUUUUCUCCACUUAAUCAGACCCCGAUCCCGAAACCCCCUAAACUCCUUCAUGGAUACCUCAUCCGCAACUUCAACAGUUACUUCAUUAGAAAAAUGGUCGGUUAUAUGAGUUCCGUGGUGCUAUUCUUGUGUUAGACAAAAUGCUCCAAGCGAGACCUCGUACUAGUGUUAUCGACUUUAAUUAACUGUUAUCCACGAUCAUUACAAUGAAACAAUACUAUGUUGCUGAAUCUUUUUACUGAUACUUAUGCUUUUACCAUUCCAGUUAUUCUAUAUGCCAGUCAUCGAAAGGUAAGCAGCUGCUACUAAUCAUCCAUCUUCUGUCAAAUUCCCCUACUUUUGCAAUAGUAGUUUUGUUUUAAUUUCUACAUAAAUUUUUUAGCGGCUUAUUUAUACUCCGAUCAUUCAGAUUUGUACUGAAAUAUACACUGACCACUAAUUUUUUUCAUCCAAUUUCAUCAUUCUAGUUUGACGAUUGACGACUAUGCACUCCAGCUAUAGAUCUGGUAAAAAUAGUUACUUGUGUUACACUUACCGGCACAAGAGCGUAUAUGAGCAUGGUUAUGAACACCGUAAUUAUUUGUAUAAUAUAUAUCAAUGUCAGGCCUCACAAUCACCGACGUCAAGAACCUCUUCAGGAUGCCUAGCAGCUCAAGAUCAUCACCGAGACGAUUAAUGGAUCCCAUAAGUUUCUAUCUGGAAAGGGAAGAAUAAGCAGUCAUUUUGUUUGAUCUUUGGUGAGCUUUCUGUAUAGACUUAAGUAUAGCGACAUGCUUUGUUUGCUGUUCAUAUUUUUAUCAUAAUUCUUGUACUUUUACUCUUAAUCGCCUAAUGUUGUAUUAAAUUUACUCCAGAAAAUUCAUGGAAAUUAAAUAACAUUCUUUUCACAUGGAUGAUUGAUUUUUCUCCUUCAAAUGGAGGGUAGAAUUUUAAUGGAAAUAGGGAAGAAAAAGAUUAAUUUUCUGUGCCAUCAAUUAUGCUGUAGUCUGCACUUAUAUAACUUUGUUUCUUCAAUGACUGGCUUACAUUUGGAAGACGCUUUAAAAUAUAGUAGCCUUGUUUAUUAGUAUAAGUUUUUAACUAAAAUUUUUCUUUCUAGUAUUUAUAAUCUGGUAACAGGAGGAAAAGAGUCAAUGUUGCUAAUUGUGAUAAUAUCUCAAACUAUUUGCCGGUGGAAAUCUAAUAUUCUUGCAGACUUCUAUAACUGAAAUGAGGUCUAUGUAGGAUACUGUCUUGGUUCCUGCUUCACCGGUGACAAAUAAGAGUCUUCGGUAGUGUCUGAGGAUUUAUUUAGAGCACUGCAAGUUUUGGCAUCAAUGUUGUUUUCUAUAAUUAUAGUAAUAAAUGUCGACGCCAUCAAUUUUUUAUUUCUGUGAUGCACAUAUUAAGUUCUGUUUCUUUUUUUGUGUUUCUUACUGUAUAUAUUUAAACUCAACCACUUUUGCUGCAGAUGGACCCUUGGCAAUGGUAGCAUUAUAGGUCAAUAUUGGUAGCAGUUACAUACAAUUGUUUGCCUGAUGAAACACUCUUAUCCGCGGCUGCUUUAAGAAUAAGAUGUAUGAUGGAGGUUGUUUACUUAUAGAUGAGAUGUGUGCCCAUGGUUUCAAAGCAGAUGCAUCUACCACAUCCAUGCUAUUCAAUUUGCUGCAAUCGAAAGAGCAGGACCCCCGCUGCUUGCUUUGCAGAAGAAGUUCAUGCCUUGACUACAUCAAUGAGAGUUUUAUUAGGGUACAAAGUACUUUAAAUUGCCAAAACUUUGUACUAAUUUGCUACAAUAUUUUAUUUCAAUAGCAAGUGUGAUAUCAGCGUUAUAAUAUGUAAUUUUGUUGUACAUCAAAUUCGAAAUGGUGGUCGUGUUAUAUUCUUGUGACAGACAAUAUUCUCCACAUGAGACUUGGUACUACGGUUAAUAACUUCAAUCACUACAGUGUUUGUUUCCUACUUAUAAGUCCAGCUUCUGGAUUAUAAGUUAGGAGCACUUAUUUGUACUGUUUGUGUAAUAAGUCAAAAAGCACUUAUAAAAAACUAGGAAUGCUAGCUUUUGUUUCAGGAUUUCUACUUAUUUUCCAAACACUUUAAUCACUUAUAAGUCUUAUCUUACUUCUAACUUCUACUCCACUUAUUUAUUUUAAGCAAGAAACACUUAUUUUAAACUCACCGAAACGACCCCGUAAUCUGCCAUUGUUAAAAUCAAACAAUACUAUUUUGCUGUCUUUCUUUACUGAAACUUGUGCUUUAACCAUUACAACCCACCCACCCUCUCAAUUUCUUACACACUCAUUACAACCCUUCCGACCCUCUCAAUUUCUUACACACUCAGCGACCAAUUAUGAAAUCAAAUUUAAUGAAACUCUACUACAACAUGAAAUGACUCAACAUCAUCAUCCCCUUCUUCAUCACUCUCGUCGUUGUCAUGCUCAUCCUUUCCGCGGCGGCGAUACAAUCGCCGCUGCUCGUUGUCGGUGAUGAAACUCUGAUCCCGAUUAUCGACAGACUCCUUCGCUUUUUUCAGGACAACACGAGACAGAAGGAAAGAAGGAGAAGAGAGCGAUGAGAGAGAGAGAGAAAAAAGAAAUCGAGGAGAUGGAGAUGGAGGAGAGAGAGAAAGAGAGGGUGGGAGAAGAGAGACGGAGAGUAAAUGGGUGAGAAGGAUGAUGAGUUUAACCAAUAGAAUGAAAGUAUCGUAUUAAUGCAAUUUUAAUCUCUUUUUUCUCUCACUAAAAUUGUAAAACUGCAACUAGUUUAAUGUAGUAGUAAGUUUGCAAUAGAAAGCAUAAAAACCGGUAUAUCCGAUAAUUUCCCUUUAAAAAAAUACAUAUAUUAAAAAACCAUUAAUUAUAUAAUAUUUUUUCACUUGUAUUUCUAAUAAAUACACGAAUAUAGACUCUUAUACAACUCUUGUUAUACAAUUUUCAAGAAAGAUAAUUUUGAAAUGCUGUUUUCUUUAAGAAGACUGUUAUAGUGAGACGGAGAGUAUACUCCCUCCUUCUCAAUUUAUAGGGUCUCUUUUGAAAAAAAAAAAUUGUCCCAAAAUACAUGUCCCUCUCUUUUUUCAAUACAAAUUUAUUUAUAUAUUAAUUGUGAUUUUUUUGAAACUCAAUAUUAUUCUCAUUUCUGAAUGCACUAAAAGUUUUAUAUUUAUUGUGAUUUUUUUUGAAAAUCCUGUUGUCACCUAACAAUGCAUUAAUUAAUAAUACAUGAGAUCAAAUUAUAUAUAACCAACUUUUUUUUUAAUAUACGUGUUUUUUCUAAAAUGGAACGUUACUUUACAAGCAGCACUCCCCUUUAAAGAAACAGCACAGGAGCAGAGUUUCUAAACACAAAGGCAAGUGCAACUGUGCAAGAUGAAGACGAUGAUAAUGAUAGUGAGGAGGGCUUUCACCACCUGCUUCAAUUCAAACACUCUUCUUCCAUCCCCCAGUCAAGGUACUAAUACUGUUACUGCUACUACUACUAUUACGUUGCUUCGAUUGCAUUCACUUUCUCAGCCAUCCACUUACCCUAACCCUAAUCACAUACCCACUCAUCACACGGAACUUCAACAAUUACUUAACGAGAAAUGUAAGCUUGGUUUUGAUAAGCUGGAUGAUGCUCUUGUUGUGUUUGAUAAAAUGCUCCGUAUGAAGCCUCUUCCUACUGUCAUCCACUUUACUCAACUCUUGGCCGCCCUUGUCAAGACGAAACAUUACUCCGCGGCUGUCUCCGUCUUUUCAAAAAUGUGCUCUUGUAGCAUUCCUGUUAAUAUAAUUACUUAUAACACCGCCAUCAACUGUUGUUGCCACUUCAAACGAGUUGAUUGUGGCUUUGCGCUGUUGGCUGCCAUCUUUAAGCGUGGUUUUGUCCCGGAUGUCGUUACCUACACAACGCUUCUCAGGGGACUCAUUUCCCAGGACAAGUUUCUCGAGGCUGAGCUUAUGUUCAAGAACCUUCUCAAGUGCAAUCAGAUUCAGCCUAAUGCAGUUAUCUUUAACACCAUUAUCAAUGGCCAGUGCAAAACAGGCAACACUUCCCAGGCUGUGAUGUUGCUUAGAUACAUGGAGAACAAAGGUUGUAUGCCGGAUGUAGUAACUUAUAGCACUGUUAUUGAUGGUUUGUCCAAAGACAGAUUAGUUGAUGAAGCUCUGGGUCUUCUUGCCGAAAUGAGUGACAAAAGCAUUCAACCAAGUGUUGUAUCCUAUAACUCAUUAAUUCAUGGUAUGUGCAACCUCAGUCGGUGGGAUGAUAUUAUACAAUUGUUAAAUGAUAUGGACAGACACAAAAUUUCUCCAGAUGAGCAUACCUACAGUAUAUUGGUUGAUGCACAUGCCAGAGAUGGAAAGGUCAAAGAUGCUCAAUAUCUGAUAGAGUUGAUGAUUCAAAGAGGCCAAAAUCCUAAUGUAGUCACCUACAGUGCACUUAUGGAUGGAUACUGCUUGAGAGGAGAAUUGAAUAAAGCGUUAGCAGUGCUCAGAACCAUGACAAGUAAGGGGAUUUUGCCCAACACUCGUACUUAUAGUAUAUUGAUUAAUGGUUAUUGUAAGAAGAUGAAAGUAGACACAGCAAUACAUCUCUUAGAAGAAAUGCCCCUGAAAGGUUUAACACCUACAGUUGAAACAUACAGUACUAUUUUGGAUGGCUUAUUUCGUACGCGUAGGCUUGAUGAAGCACAUAAGUUUUAUAAGAAGAUGUUAAAC
RNAcentral lists this long non-coding RNA (10723 nucleotides) under Daucus carota (carrot). Its description in RNAcentral is "long non-coding RNA (DCAR_LNC006025)". Lineage: Eukaryota; Viridiplantae; Streptophyta; Magnoliopsida; Apiales; Apiaceae. The record is from RNAcentral.